RNAcentral lists this ribosomal RNA (408 nucleotides) under uncultured bacterium. Its description in RNAcentral is "partial 16S ribosomal RNA". It matches the Rfam family "Bacterial small subunit ribosomal RNA", at positions 28 to 526 of the family's 1533-position model. The record is from RNAcentral.
GACGAACGCUGGCGGCGUGCUUAACACAUGCAAGUCGAACGAAGUGGCGAACGGGUGAGUAACGCGUAAUCAACCUGCCCUUCAGAGGGGGACAACAGUUGGAAACGACUGCUAAUACCGCAUACUGAAGGAGGGGAUUGCGUCUGCUUAGCUCGUUGGAGGGGUAACGGCCCACCAAGGCGAUGCUCAGUAGCCGGUCGGCGAGGUAGAACGGCCAAAUUGGGACUGAGACACGGCCCAGACCCCGACGCGCGGCAACAGGGGCGAAACUUGCGCAAUAGGCGAAAUUCUGACGGAGCAACGCCGCGAGAGUGAUGACGACCGUCGGGUUGUAAAGAGCUGUUAAUCGGGACGCGGUACCGCAAGAGAAAGCCACGGCUAACUACGUGCCAGCAGCCGCGGUAAUUC